UAAGGAGGGGGCGAGAGUUGUUCGGAAUUACUGGGCGUAAAGCGCACGUAGGCGGAUCAGAAAGUCAGAGGUGAAAUGCCGGGGCUCAACCUUGGAACUGCCUUUGAAACUCCUGGUCUUGAGGUCGAGAGAGGUGAGUGGAAUUCCGAGUGUAGAGGUGAAAUUCGUAGAUAUUCGGAGGAACACCAGUUGCGAAGGCGGCUCACUGGCUCGAUACUGACGCUGAGGUGCGAAAGCGUGGGGAGCAAACAGG
RNAcentral lists this ribosomal RNA (253 nucleotides) under uncultured bacterium. Its description in RNAcentral is "partial 16S ribosomal RNA". It matches the Rfam family "Bacterial small subunit ribosomal RNA", at positions 524 to 776 of the family's 1533-position model. The record is from RNAcentral.